CUUUAGCAUUAUAAAAACGUAAAGUGCGUUAGGGAUAGUAGCGGAAAGCCCACAGCGUGGGUAGGGUUUGCGCGCAGGUAAGGCGAGGACUUGUAGCGGAUAGCCCGGGCCGCA
This 114-nucleotide unclassified non-coding RNA is filed under the name Mucilaginibacter gossypiicola. Its description in RNAcentral is "Flavo-1 RNA". The record is from RNAcentral. Lineage: Bacteria; Pseudomonadati; Bacteroidota; Sphingobacteriia; Sphingobacteriales; Sphingobacteriaceae.